This 179-nucleotide ribosomal RNA is filed under the name uncultured soil bacterium. Its description in RNAcentral is "partial 16S ribosomal RNA". It matches the Rfam family "Bacterial small subunit ribosomal RNA", at positions 26 to 216 of the family's 1533-position model. The record is from RNAcentral.
AGCCUGAACGCUGGCGGCGUGGCUAAGACAUGCAAGUCGUACGGGCCCGCAAGGGUCAGUGGCGAACGGGUGAGUAAUGAAUCGCUAACGUACCCCGGGCUCUGGGAUAGCCGGCCGAAAGGCCGGGUAAUACCAGAUGAUGUAACCUUGUCGCAUGAUAGGGUUCCCAAAGGUCCGCC